Molecule: ribosomal RNA, 469 nt
Filed under: uncultured bacterium
Lineage: Bacteria
Description: partial 16S ribosomal RNA
Rfam family: Bacterial small subunit ribosomal RNA
Source: RNAcentral
GACGAACGCUGGCGGCGUGCUUAACACAUGCAAGUCGAACGAUGAGGCCUUAGCUUGGUUUGGUGGACUAGUGGCGAACGGGUGAGUAACACGUGAGCAACGUGCCCAUGACUCUGGAAUAACCGCGGGAAACCGUGGCUAAUACCGGAUAGGUGCCGCUGCCGCAUGGUCUUCGGUUGGAAAGUUUUUGCGGUUCUGGAUCGGCUCACGGCCUAUCAGCUUGUUGGUGGGGUAUUGGCCUACCAAGGCGACGACGGGUAGCCGGCCUGAGAGGGUGACCGGCCACACUGGGACUGAGACACGGCCCAGACUCCUACGGGAGGCAGCAGUGGGGAAUAUUGCACAAUGGGCGCAAGCCUGAUGCAGCAACGCCGCGUGGGGGAUGACGGCCUUCGGGUGGUAAACCUCUUUGAGUAGGGAAGAAGCGCAAGUGACGGUACCUGCAGAAAAAGCACCGGCUAACUACGUG